Spinacia oleracea (spinach) is the source of this 1062-nucleotide long non-coding RNA. RefSeq lists it as uncharacterized. The record is from RefSeq and is a predicted model, not a curated record. Lineage: Eukaryota; Viridiplantae; Streptophyta; Magnoliopsida; Caryophyllales; Amaranthaceae. The transcript is spliced from 5 exons.
UCCCUUGCACAUACCUUCUCUGAUUUGUCUAUGUCCUCUUCCCUCAAUCUCUACGACAACCGCCUUACCAACUAAACUCCACCACAUUCUCUGUUGCUUCACCCAUCUUCUGAUUACCUAUUACGGAGUAUCAUCUUUAACCUCAAAAACUUCUCUCCCCUCCUCACCAACUCCAUCUUCUCUAAACUAUCCCUGCUCGUCGAGCUUCUCGAUGACGUUCCUCUCAGAGUGAUGAAUUGAUAAACGGUCUCCGCAAAUGGAGUAUUUCGAUGGAUACGGAGACGACGAAAAUGAAGAAUAUGAAGAAGACGAGGAAGAAGAUCGAAGCUUGGUUUUGUUAAUUAGGUUUGUGGAAAUAUCUUCAGAUUUUUUUAUAAAGGCUUGACUCCUUUGCGUUUGGAGCUCCUGAGUCCUGACAAUAAGAAGUACCCGUUUGUGGAUUUGGCAAUCUGGCUUAAUGUUGUAGGACGUGAUGGAGGCACUAUGACAGGGGUUCUUAGAAAACUAUUGAGAAAGUUGACGAGACCUUAAUAGAGGAGAAGAUAAGCUACUUAGAUAUCUUUAAAAUUGUGAAGCUAACAUUCGAGAAGCAUAGGAACGAGUUGGUGGUGUCACCUUCAUCGGAGGAAAUUGUGCAUUACGACCUCUAGGCGCGAAUUAUGCUACCAGUUUGCUUUUUGUGUAGGCUUGAGUCCAGGACGUGUUGAAGGCACUACUAACGACAACCUUGUCCUUAUUGAGGGAACUUCUCUUCCAUAUGCCACCGGUGCAUGAAAUUAGGCUCCAGUGCUUGGAAGACCCCUUUUUCUAGCCAUUCCCUAUCCAACUUCUAAUGUGUAUAAACUAAACGGUUUUCAAACAUUUCCUGGUCAUGUUGUAUAAUGCCCGUGCUUCUUUUGCCGUCAAACAUUUCUUCAUUUUGCAUAUGGAAUAGGAUACAACUUUUUCUAUGUAGUAAGACCUCAUGUGCUAAGAGUUUUUAUUGGAACACGAGGACUCUUCAACACUUCAUGUUCCUAAAGAAUACCUUUCUACAUCUUUUGUAAACAUUAAGCGCUACAA